Sapajus apella (tufted capuchin) is the source of this 171-nucleotide long non-coding RNA. RefSeq lists it as uncharacterized. NCBI's taxonomy places the organism in Eukaryota, Metazoa, Chordata, Mammalia, Primates, Cebidae. The transcript has 3 exons. The record is from RefSeq and is a predicted model, not a curated record.
GAGCUCUACAAAAAGAACUGCAAACCACUGCUCAAAGAAAUUACACAUGACGUAAACAAAUGAAGAAACAUUCCAUGGUCAUGGAUAAGAAGAAUCAGCAUCAUUAAAAUGGCCCUACUGCGCAAAGUAAUUUAUAUAUUCAAUGCUAUCCCCAUCAAGCCACCAUUGACU